GAUGAACGCUGGCGGCGUGCCUAAUACAUGCAAGUCGAGCGAACGGACGAGAAGCUUGCUUCUCUGAUGUUAGCGGCGGACGGGUGAGUAACACGUGGAUAACCUACCUAUAAGACUGGGAUAACUUCGGGAAACCGGAGCUAAUACCGGAUAAUAUUUUGAACCGCAUGGUUCAAAAGUGAAAGCCGGUCUUGCUGUCACUUAUAGAUGGAUCCGCGCUGCAUUAGCUAGUUGGUACGGUAACGGCUUACCAAGGCAACGAUGCAUAGCCGACCUGAGAGGGUGAUCGGCCACACUGGAACUGAGACACGGUCCAGACUCCUACGGGAGGCAGCAGUAGGGAAUCGUCCGCAAUGGGCGAAAGCCUGACGGAGCAACGCCGCGUGAGUGAUGAAGGUCUUCGGAGCGGAAAACCCUGUUAGUAGGGAAGAACAUAUGUGUAAGUAACUGUGCACAUCUUGACGGUACCUAAUCAGAAAGCCACGGCUAACUACGUG
RNAcentral lists this ribosomal RNA (497 nucleotides) under uncultured bacterium. RNAcentral describes it as "partial 16S ribosomal RNA". It matches the Rfam family "Bacterial small subunit ribosomal RNA", at positions 28 to 507 of the family's 1533-position model. The record is from RNAcentral.